Molecule: RNA transcript, 3577 nt
Organism: Daktulosphaira vitifoliae (grape phylloxera)
Lineage: Eukaryota; Metazoa; Arthropoda; Insecta; Hemiptera; Phylloxeridae
Exons: 7
Source: RefSeq, a predicted model, not a curated record
UUAGCAGUUUUCAAAUGAAUUUUUUAUUGUAGAAAAUAAAUAUUAAAUAUUUGUUAGCAAAACCUCUCUUAAUAGAUAACUCACAUUUGAAAUUCCUGUUCGAUAACACUAAAUGUAAGCAAAUAAUUAGAAUGAGUUUAUUAUUUUUAUUAGUUUAGCAUUGAUUUGUAUUGGUUGGUUAUACUACGAUGUUUUUUUUUAUUAUAUUUUAGAUACUUGAUAAUUACCCAAAUCAUCAAAUUUUGUUGAAAUAAUAUUUAUAAACGAAAGUAUUCUUGUAAUGCUUAUUUAAUGAGCAUUACAAAAAUAAUCUGUAGUAAUUUUGAAAAAAAAAUGUGAUUUAGUAUAGAUUAACUAUGGAACACAGAUAUUAUCAUUAAAAUUUUUUUAAUAUUACUAUUUUUUUAAUAUUUUACUAAACAGUUCUUUGGAUUAGAUAGAGGGAACAAAACUCGCGAAAAAUCUAUCUGCUGUGAAUGCUAUUUUUAUUGAUCCUUUAUUUGUUUAAGUUUUUUUUGAAGUUGUGUUAUUAAUGUAUAAGGUGUUCAAUAAUUAAGGAAACGAGUUUCUGUUUUUCUCAUUGUUUGGAACAAUUAACCUGUUUCCUUACUUACUGAACACUCUUUAGAUUUUUUAGCGGUUAUUGUAUAGAACAAAUUAUGAGUUAUCCAAUUACAAUUGAACCAUAUCCGAAAGCUUUAGUGCAUACUGUCAUCCUAAAUUAAAAGACAGGAAAAUAUAAGUUAAAAUUUAAAGCCGCUUUUAGCUGUAAUAAAUCCAUUGAUUAUCUGAUAAAUAUUGAUUUUCAUUUAUCAAAGGCUUCGCCAACAAUAACUCUCUUAACGGGAACUGCGACAUUUAAAAUUCCAUUUGAUGACUCACUAUAUUAUAACAUUAAUAUGGCGAUUUGGUCGAAAAUUGGAGGUUGGAAAGAUAAUGCUUUUGUGUAUAAAAAUAAAGGAGCAUGUUCAAUGCUAAAAUUUUUUUUCGGAAACACAUGGAAACAUUUAGUACAAGCAGAAGAUUGUCCAGUUCAAGCGGGUACAUAUCAUCUUAAAGGUUAUGAUUUGUCACUAAUAUCUCAGGCGAAUUUUCCGAAGGAGUUUUUUUAUGGCACAUACAAGUAUAAGCUAUUUUAUACAGAUGAUAAAUUUGUCGAAGUUGGCUGUUUUUUUAUUAUAUUUGAUUUAUUAAGACCUUGGGAAUAAUAAUGUUUUGUAAUUUUUAACAUAAGUGUUUACAAAGAAAGGUAAAGGAGAUAAUCGCUUUUUAUUUUUUAAUACUUUGUGUGUUUUUAAUGUAUUAUAUUAUAUAUACUCUUAUUUAAUGGGUUAAACGUGAUAUAUUGCUCUUUGUCAAUUUUCUGUAUUAUGUAAAUGUUUUUAAUAUAGAACAAUUAUGUAGUCAACAUUUUUAAUUAAAGGUCAUUUCUCUUGCUAUUAUUAUUCUAAUGAUUUAAUUUUUAAAUAUUCAAAAUUAUUAACUAGUAUUCAUUUGUUUAGUCGUAUUAAAUCUCGCGUAUGUAUUAAUAUUUUAACCGGUUGCAUGAACAUUUACAGAAUCAAUGACCUAAUAUCAGUUCCAUAAAUUAAAAAAAAAAAACAGUUCCGCAAAAUUAUCAAAUAUUAUCAAAUUUCCAUUUAUCGAAUCAAUAAUUCUUUGGCCCAAUUUCUGAUCUCUAAAAUUUAUUGAGCUGUUUAUCUGUCUCCUUAUCGAAUUAUAUUUGUUAUAAAAAAUAGUUUUUAUUUGGGUUUUUAAAUACUAACAGUUUAAUAAAAAAUAUUAAACAAGUAUUGUUGUGUUCGUAUUAUUUUAAAAAAAUUAAUUUUAAAUCGAGAAAUUUAUGUUCUAAUCUUCAGUCUUAUAUUUAAUCGAAUAGUUUUCAUUUUAUUUUUUCGACUUAUCCGAUGAAGAAAUGAUUUUUGUAAUUACAAUUCGUCUACCAAGUCUAAGACAGCUAAGAAAUAGAUCUUUUAAAAUAGAAAUUCUUUUUAAAUUUUAUGAUGAUUUAGAUUUUAAAUGUAGAUUUAGAUUAUCUAAAGAAAUUUUUAUAUUUCUUGUGAAUAUAAUCGAGGAUGCUAUAAAACACAAAACUCAAGAAGUUAUUCGUUGUCCUCUAAGUUACAGCUUUUAAUAAAGUUUCAAUAUUAUGCUACUGGUGUAUUUCAAAUGGUUUUAGGAUAUCAUAUUGCCGUACAUAAAGCCAUUGUUUGUAGAGUCAUUAAAAUAAUGAUUACACAAAUAGGUUUUUUGCAUUCUCAAUUUAUUAAAUUUCCCAAUAACGUUGCUGAACAACAAAAAAUUCAAGUUAGGUUUUAUAGAUUACAUCAAUUUUCCUGUGUAAUUAGCGUCGUCAUUGAUUGUUCGCAUAUUCAAAUACAAUCUCCUAUAAAUAAUAAUGAUGAAUAGUUUUGGAAUCGAAAAAGAUAUUUUUCUUUAAAUAUUCAGGCAAUAUGAGUUAGUAAUUUGUACAUUUUAAACAUUGUUGCUAGGUGGUCAGAAUUAGUGAAUGAUAGCACAAUUGUUAAAAAUACCUGUUAAAUUCGAAAAUCAUUAGUUCAGGAAUGUAUUUACUUAGGAUUACCCAUUGUAGAAAUUAUUUAAUAACACCAUGAUUAAAUCUAAUAACUAAUGCUGAAAAAAAACUAGAAGGUAGAAAUCGGUACAAGAAAUGUAAUCGAAAAGUUUUUUUGAAGUUUGGAAGAGGAGAUUUUCUUUUACUUGCCUUAAGUUUUCGUACUAAAAUGAGCACCACCAUGAGUAGAUAUAAAAAGUCUGAGCUGAAUACCACCCCGAGCAACCCAAGCAUCUUACCUAGUUGUAUGUGUGUUACAUAGUUGGUGUGCGAAUCGGGAUGAUAUGGUGAAAGGUCUAUGUAGCACGAUCUUAGAUAACAUUGUGUUCUACCAUUGUAUAUGCAUAGUAUACCCAAGUAGAUAAAACAUCAUAUAGUAUAACUUAAUAUAUAAAAAUAGUACAGUAAGUAUCAUAAGUAUUAUAUUAUGCAUUAUUAUUAUUUAUAUUAUAUAGUUUUAAAUUUAUUAUCAUAAGUAUUACUGAUAUUUUUUUUUUUUAAUUGUAAAGAAAAACUUAGGUUAUUUACAGAUAACAACCAAAAGUUGAGGAGUAUAUUUAAAAGUCGUUUUAUGAUAGAUCUCGUUUGCAUUUACAACUUAAUUGUAUCACGCAAACAAGAUAAAUGCUUAUUAUCUAUCGUAAAUUUUAAUUUGGAUAGAGAGGUUGUAGAUGAGUAUUCAGAGUGGAAAUUAUAAUUUUAUACAUAAUAAUUUUUUUACUGAUGAAGUAUAAUCGAUGAAUAGGUAUAGAUCAUUAAACAUAGUUUCAUUAAACAAAAUUUCAUCGAAGCUAUCGAUAAUUUUUAUGGAGGUUUUGAAAUUUUAAAGAAUAUAUUGAAGUACAAAUAAUAUGUUAAUAACUUCCCAAUAAAUGAUAAAAAAUCAACAAAAUAAUAUUAAUAUGAAAUCACCAGAACUCGUGUUGCUGCAAGAAACUUUAGAACUAACAGUCAUUGCUUUGGAUAGACUACCAGACAGCCCAUUUUUAUCCAAAAUAUCAA